RNAcentral lists this long non-coding RNA (461 nucleotides) under Sorghum bicolor (sorghum). Its description in RNAcentral is "long non-coding RNA (SBIC_LNC005996)". Lineage: Eukaryota; Viridiplantae; Streptophyta; Magnoliopsida; Poales; Poaceae. The record is from RNAcentral.
GCUGAGCGUUUCUGAAGAGAUGUUGGGUUUCUGAACGUCCGACGUGCAAACUUGCUCCAAACUUUUUUUAAAUUUUUAUCAUAGCCUUCCCAUACCAUAUCAAGGACGGUGGACAAGUUUAGUGGUUUUCCGAGUUCAUUUGAUUUUUUUUAUAAUUAAAAAACCCCGCGCACGCAAGUUGGAAGCGUUGCCCCGCGAGCACGCUCAUCGAGAUUUGGUGCCAGGACAUGGAUUUGACCUAAUUGCAUCCACACAAGCAAGAAUAGCAAUGUUGUAACCAUAGGACACUAUUAUUCCAUGCACCUGCAGUUCAAAUCGAAAUCGUCGGAAAAAAUGCAACGAGUCGCAAUUAAAUGAAAAAAUAUAGAAAAAAAUUUCAAAGUGCACCAAACCUUGGCAAGUUACUAAAGAUAGGGUACUAAAGCUCCACAAAAAAUUUGGGAGCAAAACUCAAAAAAAAA